RNAcentral lists this ribosomal RNA (207 nucleotides) under Escherichia coli. RNAcentral describes it as "partial 16S ribosomal RNA". It matches the Rfam family "Bacterial small subunit ribosomal RNA", at positions 1 to 215 of the family's 1533-position model. Lineage: Bacteria; Pseudomonadati; Pseudomonadota; Gammaproteobacteria; Enterobacterales; Enterobacteriaceae. The record is from RNAcentral.
AAAUUGAAGAGUUUGAUCAUGGCUCAGAUUGAACGCUGGCGGCAGGCCUAACACAUGCAAGUCGAACGGUAACAGGAAACAGCUUGCUGUUUCGCUGACGAGUGGCGGACGGGUGAGUAAUGUCUGGGAAACUGCCUGAUGGGGGGGGAUAACUACUGGAAACGGUAGCUAAUACCGCAUAACGUCGCAAGACCAAAGAGGGGGACC